GCCGUUAUAGGCUUCUUGGUAACAGGUUUCUUUUGGAUUUCAGCUUCCUGGAGCCUGUUUGCUUGUUUGGGUUUAGUGGGAGGUGCUUGCUCGGCCUCCGUGGGGGAUGUUUUGGUUCUUUUAAUGUUCUAGUUUUUCCUUUGAUUACUCCUUGGCAGUUGUGUUUUCCCACGUUUUUCAGCUACUUUUUCUAAUGUAAACAUCAGUUCCUUUCUUACCAAAAAAAAAAAGGUCUUCGCUUUCUCUCUCUUUCGAGUAGUGUUGCAAUUGUUGUUUCGACCUUGGUGGUUUUAGGUAGAUGGUUU
Molecule: long non-coding RNA, 305 nt
Filed under: Elaeis guineensis (African oil palm)
Lineage: Eukaryota; Viridiplantae; Streptophyta; Magnoliopsida; Arecales; Arecaceae
Description: long non-coding RNA (EGUI_LNC005915)
Source: RNAcentral